Molecule: ribosomal RNA, 448 nt
Filed under: uncultured soil bacterium
Lineage: Bacteria
Description: bacterial SSU rRNA
Rfam family: Bacterial small subunit ribosomal RNA
Source: RNAcentral
AGAACGAACGCUGGCGGCAUGCCUAAUACAUGCAAGUCGAACGAACACUUCGGUGUUAGUGGCGCACGGGUGCGUAACGCGUGGGAAUCUGCCCUUGGGUUCGGAAUAACAGUUGGAAACGACUGCUAAUACCGGAUGAUGACGAAAGUCCAAAGAUUUAUCGCCCAGGGAUGAGCCCGCGUAGGAUUAGCUAGUUGGUGAGGUAAAGGCUCACCAAGGCGACGAUCCUUAGCUGGUCUGAGAGGAUGAUCAGCCACACUGGGACUGAGACACGGCCCAGACUCCUACGGGAGGCAGCAGUAGGGAAUAUUGGACAAUGGGCGCAAGCCUGAUCCAGCAAUGCCGCGUGAGUGAUGAAGGCCUUAGGGUUGUAAAGCUCUUUUACCCGAGAUGAUAAUGACAGUAUCGGGAGAAUAAGCCCCGGACUAACUCCGUGCCAGCAAGCCGC